This is a long non-coding RNA of Oncorhynchus tshawytscha (Chinook salmon), 2124 nucleotides long. The record is from Ensembl. Lineage: Eukaryota; Metazoa; Chordata; Actinopteri; Salmoniformes; Salmonidae.
UUACAAUUUGCGAGACAUGACAUUCAUAGGGAAAAUUAAGGGAGGGAGUUUUGACUGUGGUUUGUGUGUUUAUGUAUGUUUUUAUGUGUGAGUGUGUGUUUACAGUGUGUGUGUGUGUGAGAGAGAGACAGACAGACAGAGAGAGAGAGAGAGAGAGUGACAGAGAGGGAGAGAUUGUGUGUGUGUUUACAGUGUCUCUGUUUGUGUGUUUUCAUAGCCUGGGGGUAGGAUUAUUACAGGAAUAUUCAGAGUGAAGGACACAGGUUCAAUCUCUGUCAGCGUGCUUCAAACAUCUGCUUUUGUCCCAGCAUCUGCUCAAUAAAACCCCCUUAACGUUACCUCUAGCCAAACAGCAAUUACAGAUGGGCCUCAGGGCAGAGGGGUAAGGGGGCGGGGGGUCGGGGAUUCUGGAAACUCGCAGAAGAGGAGCAGAAUGCCCCCACACCCCCGACAACAACAAAAGUGAGGGCACAGGUAUGGAAAAGGGCCUGCCCAUUACUGUAUGUGAGCUGAUUUCUCCAAACUGAGGAUCUUCUUUGCGGAUCUGAGUGUACAGGUGCUUAAUUAAAAUAUCUGUAAUCUUAAAUUGACUUAAUUCCAAAGCCCCUCUCCGGCAGUUUCACCUCAAUUGCUGAACAAGAAAAUAUGUUUUGCUUGACCACUGUGUCACCACUCUACAUCCAUCAAGUCAAGUCGUAUUUUAUUUAACAAGUCUCAAUACACUUUACAAAAAAUAAAACAGAGAAACAGCAGAUACACAGUGUAUUUGUGUGAUGUGUUAAGGCCUUUUGGUUCCUGUUAGGAACUGUGUGGCAGCAGCAUUUUGUAUGAGUUGAAGAAUGUUUUCAUUGGUAGCGGUACAGCCUGAUAGAAGGUUGUUGCAGUAGUCAAGAGGGAUUUAACGAAGGUAUGGAUUCAUUUCAAUCCGUGUCUCUUUUGCAGCCAAGCCCAACAUCCUCUCAAAACGACAACAACAAGACCUGAGUCCUAGGACUACCUAGCUUGAUGACUCCUGGCUUUCCCCAGUCCACCUGGUCAUGCUGCUGCUCCAGUUUCAACUGUUCUACUUGCAGCUAUGGAACCCUGACCUGUUCACCGGACGUGCUACCUCGUCCCGGACUUGCUGUAUUCGACUCCCCCCCCCCCUCUCCCUUCCUCGCUCUCUCUGUACCGCACCUGCUGUCUCGACCUCUGAAUGCUUGGCUAUGGCCAACUGACUGACAUUUACAGUACUCCUGAGGUGCUGACCUGUUGCACCAUCUACAACCACUGUGAUUAUUAUUUGACCCUGCUGGUCAUCUAUGAAUCUUUGAAAAGCUUGAGGAACGAUCUGGCCUGAAUGGCCAUGUACUCUUAUAAUCUCCACCCGGCAUAGCCAGAAGAGGACUGGCCACCCCUCAGAGCCUGGUUCCUCAUUAGGUUUCUUCCUAUGUUCCUGCCUUGCUAGAGAGGUUUUCCUAGCCACUGUGCUUCUACAUCUGCAUUGCUUGCUGUUUGGGGUUUUAGACUUUCUGUAUAAGCACUUUGUGGCAUCUGCUGAUAUAAAAAGGGCUUUAUAAAUACAUUUGAUUUGAUUUGCAAAUUGAGGUCUGACUUACAUGGACCAGAGGCAUCUAUUUGUUAACAGAUAGCUCUGACAUGGACCAUUGUGAUGCAUUCUUGGAGCUCACCACAGCAGGCUACAUUGGUAGACUCCAUAGACACACCUGCUUAUGAAAAGUCUAGGACCUCCCAUUCAUUACCAGGCAUGUUCUCACACACUACCCCGUUGCCCUGUCAAUCAUUCUAAGGCCAUGCACAUGAACCCUGGUCCCUCUCUAAUUAACGAGCAAGGGAUGUUUAACUUUAUUCCUGAAUGCCAUUAGGUCCUAACGACCCUCCAUUCAUGACCAUGUCGUAUGGCGUCUAAACCCAUACAAUUAAAAUUGGUCCUCUGUAACUCAGUUGUUAGAGCAUGGCACUUGCAACAUCAGGAUAGUGGGUUUGAUUUCUGGGACCACCCACACAUAAAAUGUGUGUAUGCAUGACUAUAAGUCGCUUUGGAUAAAGUCGUCUGCUAAAUAUUAUAUUAUUAUGUGAUGUUGACCAUACACCCCAGUUCUCAACUUAUUAAAUAGUUUAUAC